This 253-nucleotide ribosomal RNA is filed under the name uncultured bacterium. RNAcentral describes it as "partial 16S ribosomal RNA". It matches the Rfam family "Bacterial small subunit ribosomal RNA", at positions 524 to 776 of the family's 1533-position model. The record is from RNAcentral.
GACGAACCGUCCAAACGUUGUUCGGAAUCACUGGGCUUAAAGGGCGCGUAGGCGGGCUGCCAAGUCCGGGGUGAAAUCCUCCCGCUUAACGGGAGAACUGCCUCGGAUACUGGAAGUCUCGAGGAGGGUAGGGGCACGCGGAACUGUGGGUGGAGCGGUGAAAUGCGUUGAUAUCCAUAGGAACUCCGGUGGCGAAGGCGGCAUACUGGACCACCACUGACGCUGAGGCGCGAAAGCCAGGGGAGCAAACGGG